AUGCUUGCCUUAAGAAGACAUGUUCUGUGGAGCCAGCAUUGUGCCUGGGUAGACGGCGGAACUUGGGAACAUAAGUUCGGAACCCUGGUUAGUCAUAAAGCUCACUGGGUGACCUUGAAUCAGAUCUUGAUCUCUCUCAUAUUUAGAAUUUAUUAUCUAAACCUCUUACUCAUGCAGAAAGGGGGCAAAAAGGCAAGUGUCAAGACCAUUGCAGAGAAAAUGACUGCUUCCCAGGAGACGGUUGGAGAUAGCAGGUCUGAAGGGGAAGAUGAAGGAUGGAAGGGUUCUAGAGCAAGCCAUAAUCAUCAGAAAGUCACUGCAGCACCACCAGGAGAGUAUGUAAUUAUGGUCCAUGAAGUGACUUCACCUCCAUUCCUAGGCCAGCAUCUCCCACCUGCGUUCAAGCUCCUGAGGGUUUUGCCAAAGAGAGGCAAAAGUGCAGGUUCUGAAAAGGAAACAAAAAAAGAUGUUGACAAUUGAAGAAAAGAAAUUUAAAGAUGUGACCACAACUAUGCCCAGCUGGACACAGGCUCCCCACAAAAUUAAUCUCCCCUGAAGGUGUUGUUGGAAAUGGAACCAGCAUGGAAGUCUGAAGCUGCUCACCUGAUGCAAAAAAAGAAUAAAUAAUUAGCAGCAUUUUAGUGUAUUCCUAAUAAAAUGCAUUUGUGUACACAUUCUACCAUAGGAAAUAAUUUUUAGUACACAUAAUGUGGGUGGAGAACUGCAUUGUAAAAUUCAGAGAAGUGAGAAUUUCAAAGGAGAGCUGUGUUUUGGUUUGCAUAUUGUUUCAGGAAAUGGGAAUGAGGUAAAUUUGCCUUUAAAAGCGAACUGAGAUUAAUGUUUUCCCCAUCCCUCCUGAUGCACUUGGAAGGAGGAGGUAGUGUCAGUUCUGCAAGGCUAAACCAGCCGGAGUGUCAGAUGGACUCUGCCAGUGCAUCCAUACACAGCCCUGACCUCACCGCUGCUUUGCUCUUCUUCUUCCAAGUGUGCCACAGCAAUAUGAUGGACAGGAAGCUAUUGUUGCUGUUUUGCCCCACUAGGCAAGCUGCUCCUGGUGGGAACCAUUCAUCCCAUGGUAGCCACUCAGCCAUUGCCCCCCCAAAAGUGGAAAUGCAUCACACACAAAAGAUGGACAAAAGCUUUGGGUAACAUUUGCAUAUGCUCAGAUAUCUGAAGCACUUGAAGGAGCUGGGUAUGUUUAGCCUGGAAAAGAGGAGACUGAGAGGAGAUAUUAUAGUCAUUUACAAAUAUCUUAAGGGCUGCCACAUGGAAGAGGGAACAAGCUUGUUUUCUCCUGCUGUGGAAGGUAAGACUGGAACACAAGUUACAAGAAAGGAGAUUCUGACUGAAUGUCAGGAAAAACUUUCUGACAAUAAGAGCUGUUCGGCAGUGGAACAGACUCCCACGAGAGGUGGUGGACUCUCCUUCCUUGGAGGUUUUUAAGCAGAGGUUGGAAGGCCAUCUGUCAUGGAUGCUUUAGCUGAGAUUCCUUCACUGCAGGGGGUUGGACUAGAUGACCCUUGGGUCCCUUCCAAUUCUACAAUUCUAUGAUCUGUAUCUAUUAUACAAAAAGAUGCAAGUUCAGAAAUAAUUACUACAAUUUAAAGAGAAAUACAAUAGAUCAUCUGAGCAUAGUGAGGGAAACUGACUAGGUAACCUAUGUCCCUGCUCAGACUACUA
RNAcentral lists this long non-coding RNA (1680 nucleotides) under Podarcis muralis (Common wall lizard). RNAcentral describes it as "lncRNA (ENSPMRG00000006963.1)". The record is from RNAcentral. Lineage: Eukaryota; Metazoa; Chordata; Lepidosauria; Squamata; Lacertidae.